Molecule: long non-coding RNA, 7211 nt
Filed under: Sorghum bicolor (sorghum)
Lineage: Eukaryota; Viridiplantae; Streptophyta; Magnoliopsida; Poales; Poaceae
Description: long non-coding RNA (SBIC_LNC017069)
Source: RNAcentral
GCCAUGUAAAUAUAACAGACAUUUCUUUUAUGGCCAAGGGCCACAUCUGCGUGUGUAGCAUCAACGUCCAAUCUUCAACUAUGGAAAAUGAUCAAAAUGCCUACUAAAGGAAUAGAAUUUCAUCUCCAGAAACGAACAUAGGAGCAUCAUCUACGCAGCCACAAUAUUUCCAUUUCCUUCAAACAUAAACGGAGGGAGAAGAGUGAUAGCCAUUGUGGUAACCUGCAACGAAACAUAAUGUAUACUGAUGAGGCAAAAAGGUGGCAUAUAUAUAUAUAUAUAUAUGAUAAGCAGGAAGAUCUAACACAUGGAAAACGAAGCUCUGAUUAGUAUAUGGAAAAUUUGGUGAACAAAAAUUAGAAGUAGGAAUCAAGUAUACCAGUGUAGCAGACAAAUAUUUAGUAUGUUCCAAUGUAGGAACAAAUCUGCGGGCAAAGUUUGUAGUCCAAAGUAUUCCAUGGAGAUCUAAAUUAUCAAACUACAAAUUUGUUGCUAAUUCGAAGUAGAGGUACUACAGAAAGCACUGUACCUCUGGCAGAUGAUAGAAUCUCGAACAUAUAUCAUAGGUCGUAUUUUGGAUUGUAGUGGAGUUUUUUGGCUCCUUUGUAUCCUGACAGUGGAAUCAAAAUCUCUUUGUAGCUAAGUGGAGGUCCAUCUGAACAAAAGGACAGAGGUUGUGCACUGCAUCCGUUAUAGACAGAAAUAACACAAUAGUUGCUUGAGGAAUAUAUGCAUCAACAGCAAAACAGAGGCUGCGAUAAUGGACUAAGGGGGGAAAGAAGGCGUGAAUAUAUACACAAGAAAAUUUUAUUAUUUGGAUGGUCACUGAUGAUGAUUCCUCAAAUUCUUCAUAAAGAGGAUCUAGACAGUCUCUGGUUAGUCGAGACCCUCCAUUUCCUAAUUUCCUCUCUUCUUUUCCGCUCAAUUCUAGUUUAUUAGAUUCUUGUUUAAAAGAAUCAAAGAAGCUGAAUAGAACUAAGAAUACAUUAAAAAGAGCCUUUUUCUUCAUUUUGCAUUUCUUAUUAUUUUUGUAUGGAUAUGCAGGGGCUACACAAUUUCUCAAUUUCUUAGCGAUUCAUACCAUGAGGUGAAAUGCACAAAAUUUUGAUAAAGCUUACCUUUCCAAAACAAUACAUGGAAGAAGAUACAAGAGUUGUCCUAUGGUAAUAAGAAGCAGCCUACAACCCCAAAAAUAUUCAUCCAGCAUAUUUCUACAUCUAUAAAACCACACAACGCAAGUAACUUUGCAACUGAAACACAGGUUAGGAAACAAAAGUUGCUGAUCACAUCUCAUAGCGGUAUUCCAUCGACCUCAAUCCUAAAAACAUAAAAACCUAACACAACAUAUAUAUGCUGCCUCCAAGAAGAAAAUGCAUAGCAAUUGGAAACAGCAGGACCUCCAUAUCCAUCUGCACCUAUGUGGCUUCUGUAUAGGGGAAUGCUAUGCUUUUGAACAACAUGUACGGAAAGGUAGUCACACAACAUCGAGCUCAAUCCUAAAAACAUAAAAAAUCUAACACAACAUAUAUAUGCUGCCUCCAAGAAGAAAAUGCAUAGCAGUUGGAAACAACACGACCUCCAUAUCAGUCCCUAGACAAAAUGCGGUCAGGGCAAUUGUAAACUCUUACAAAAUUGAUGUAGUCUGCUUACAAGAAACAAAAAAGCCUGUAAUUCCACGGCAGAUUGUGCUUUCUAUGCUUGGUAGUGAUUUUGAUAACAACUAUAUAUUUCUCCCUUCGGUGGGGGCCAGUGGGGGAAUUCUAAUUGCCUGGAGAGGUUGCCUGGGUACAGUAAGUGCAAAAAGAGUGGAUACAUUCUCCGCAUCUGUUCAGUUCAUCUUUGAUAAUAGAGGUUCCUGGUGGUUGACAUGUGUAUAUGGGCCACAAGAUGAUCAAACAAAAGUCCAAUUCUUGCAAGAGCUGCGUGAAGUGCGCGCUUAGUGUACAGGACCAUGGAUGGUGGCAAGAGAUUUUAAUCUCAUAUAUAAAGAUGAGGACAAAAACAACAACAAUUUGAAUAGAGCUAUGAUGGGAAGACUCAGAAGAUGGAUUGAGGAGAUGGCAGUUAAUGAAAUCCCCCUGCAUGGUCGUAAAUUUACAUGGUCUAGCUCCUCAUCUAAUGCUUCUCCUACUCUGAUGCGACUAGAUAGAGUGUUCUGCUCUCUAGACUGGGAGGAAAUGUUCCCUGAUUGUCUCCUUCAGAGCUCAUCUUCCGAUGACUCCGACCACUGCCCGCUUAUCCUUGGAUUGAGGGAUACACUACCAGGCAAAAGACGCUUCCAUUUUGAAGCUUUCUGGCCUAGGCUAGAGGGAUUCCAGGAAACCAUUCAAGAGGUGUGGUCUUCGGUUCAACCACGUCGUUGUCCUUUGGAGACUUUAUCCCUGAAAUUUAAAGCAGCAGCAAAAGGCUUACAAAGUUGGAGUCAAAAGAAUGUUGGCCACAUCAGUUCCCAAUUGCAUCUAGCGAAAGAAAUUAUUCACCAGCUAGAUAUAGCCCAAGACAGUCGUGCUCUCCAACCAAAUGAGUUGUGGCUGCGCAACAACCUAAAGAAGCACACCCUUGCUCUAGCUUCACUAAUGAGAACAAUAGCCAGGUCAAGAUCCCGAAUAGGAUGGCUUAAAGAAGGGGAUGCCAACACCAGACUGUUCCAUAUGCAUGCACGGCACAAAAAAAAGAAGAAUUUCAUUGCUAAAUUGAGGGCAGGAGAUCGCAUUAUCGCUGCACACGAUGAAAAGGCAGCUGAAAUCUAGUUCUAUUCAAAUUUGAUUGGUACAGUCUGUGACAGAGAAAGAAAUAUAAAUCUUGAUGCACUCAAUAUGCCAGGAUAUGAUCUACAGGAGCUGGAUAGGCCUUUUACAGAAGAGGAGGUCUGGAACACUAUCAAAGACUUGCCUUCAGAUAAGGCCCCUGGCCCUGACGGGUUCACAGAAAAAUUCUACAAAACCUGCUGGUCAGUGAUCAAAGAAGAUAUAAUGGCUGCCCUGCACAACAUUUGGGGAAAUUUCAGGAACCUGUCGAUGCUGAAGUCUGCAUAUAUCAUUUUGAUCCCGAAGAACACGGAGGCUGACCAGGUAAAGGAUUUUAGACCAAUUAGUCUGGUACACAGUUUUGCUAAACUAGUGACCAAAAUCCUGGCCAACCGCUUGGCUGGUCGUCUUGAUGAAAUGGUUUCCCCCAAUCAGACUGCCUUCAUCAAAAGGCGGUUUAUUCAGGACAAUUUCAUGUUGGUGCAAUAGACUGUAAAGUAUCUACACUCCCAAAAACAGCCAACAAUCCUCCUGAAAUUGGAUAUCACAAAGGCUUUUGAUUCGAUAAAUUGGUCAUUUUUUUUGGAAGUACUUAGGAAGCUCGGUUUUGGUGCGCGAUGGUGUGACCUUCUUUGCGGGUUGCUUUCAACCUCCUCCACCCAAGUUCUCCUUAAUGGCAGUCCCGGGGAAACUAUUCAACAUAGGAGAGGACUCCGCCAGGGCGAUCCUCUUUCUCCAAUGCUUUUCAUCUUGGUGAUGGAUGUGCUGAACUGGAUGGUCACAAAGGCCAAUGAGGAAGGAAUUUUGCAACCUUUGGCUAGAAGGCCGGUUCAACACAGAAUUUCAUUAUAUGCUGAUGAUGUAGCUCUCUUCCUCCAGCCCGCAGCAGCGGAUAUCACCCUUACCUUGAGAAUGCUUCAGCUAUUUGGGGAGGCUUUGGGACUAAAAACAAAUGUGCACAAAAGUAAUGUAAUGCCAAUCCAGUGUUCCGAAGAAAACAUGGGGACUAUCCAAAGUCUUCUACCUUGUGGUAUUCAGGAAUUCCCGUGCAAGUAUCUUGGGCUGCCCCUCUCCAUCAAGAAGCUGACCAAAAACCAAGUCCAACCAAUUGUUGAUAAAAUAGCAGACCAACUGCCAAGAUGGAGAGCAGACCUAAUGACAAAGGCAGGAAGGGUGGUGCAGGUCCAACAUGUCCUAACUGCAAUGUUAGUUUAUUUAGCCAUGGCAACUGAGCUACCAUCAUGGGCUUUUAAGGCAAUUGAUAAAAUUAGAAGAGCAUUUCUAUGGAGAGGUAGAAAGGAAGCAAAUGGCGGACAUUGCCUCAUCGCUUGGCCCAAAGUUUGUCGCUCUAAAGAACUUGGGGGGCUGGGAAUUGCGGACUUGAAAUCUCUGAGUUUAGCACUCAGAGCUAGAUGGCCAUGGCUGAAAAAAGCUGAACCAAAUAAACCUUGGGCAAGUCUACCACUUCAAGUUGGCAAAGAGGUGGAGGGUCUCCUCUCUAUGGCAGUGAUUACUGAGGUAGGAGAUGGAGCCAACACACUGUUCUGGAACGAUAGAUGGCUCGGUGGAAAUAAUAUCGAGGAACUAGCACCAAAAAUCUUUCGUUUGGUCCCUAAAAGAAGAACAGGCAGGCGUACGGUGUUGGAGGCCAUGACUGAUGACAAAUGGAUUGAUGAUAUUGGAGUCGGAAUACCCGUAGAAGCACUGAUGGAAUACCUGGAAUUAUGGGAUAAAUUAUCUAAUGUUCAGCUUCAUGAAGGGGAACAGGACAAACACAUUUGGAGGUUUUCAGCUUCAGGUAAAUACACGUCUAAGUCUGCAUAUGAUGCACUCUUCCAGGGCGCCAUACAGUUCAGAUCAUAUGAGAGAAUAUGGAAGUCAUGGGCUCCUCCAAAAUGCCGUUUUUUCAUGUGGCUUGUUGCUCAUAACCGAUGCUGGACAGCUGAUAGGCUUGCUCGACGAGGUCUUCCCCACCCAACCAAAUGUCUGCUCUGUGACCAAGAAGAGGAAAGCAUUCAACACCUCCUAAUUGGAUGUGUUUUUGCUAGGCAAUUAUGAUUCUCUCUAUUGCAGGAUGUCGGACUCCCUUCACUCACGCCUCAGCCUGGGGAUUCAGCCUGGGAGGACUGGUGGGAGAAAGCGGAGGCUGCCACCGCUGGGGAUGUGAGAAAAGGAUUAAACUCUAUCAUCAUUCUUGGCGCCUGGAGCAUCUAGAAGCAUCGGAACGACUGUACCUUCAAUGGGGCUGUACCAAACAUUAACACAACCCUUAGUACUGCUAAAGAUUAUGCCCAUUGGUGGUGUUUGGCAGGAGCGAAGGGUCUAUCCUUGCUCACUGCUAGGGGGUCUUAAUUUGUUAGCACACUUGGUCGAUGUAACCUCAGCUUUAGGUGAUGUUGCAAUAGAAAUCAGGGACGGGGUGGUGGUGUGUGUGUGUGAGAGAGAGAGAGAGAGUUGGGUCUAUCUAUGACUCUUUUUUCUUCUACUAAUAUAAUGAUACGUAGCUCUCCUGCGUGUUCGAGAAAAAAUAUCCAUCUGCACCUAUGUGGCUUCUGUACAGGGGAUGCUAUGCUUUUGAACAACAUGUACGGAAAGGUAGUCACACAAAAAAUAUAAUACAAAUUUACGAAUCAAACUAAAGGUCCAUCAAACCGAUCUACAUAUGUAUGCCAUGAAGGAAGCACAAAUAAAGUUUUAUGGUAUAGGUAGGUAACUGGUGCCCAUAUGUUGGUAAAUCCAAGAAAGCGAAGCAGAUGAUAAAAGUAGGCAAGAGCGAUAGCGUAAGUCCGCACAUAUAAAAAAGAGCAGCAAAAAAGAAUAAACUUGUUUGAGCAACACAGCUAGGUUCUAAAAGGAAAAUUGAGAUAUGGAGGUACUAUCAUAAAAUAAAGGCAGCAGAAUAUAGGUUCAUGUAGAUAAAUUGAAAAGGCACAAUAAGGAAUCUAUGUAGACUAAGAUAUUCGUGGCUUGUAGGCACAACCAUAAAGCAUAGGAACACUAUAUAUAAGGGUCAUUAUGAAUUAAGAGGCACCAUAGAACCAAGCCGUAAUAAUAGAGUGUCUACACAACUGGUUAAUAGAUAUAGGUUGUACUCAAUGUAAAAACCAUUAUCAAGAAAACACAUCCCAAAAAUAGCUUCAGGAUAGGCUUAUCGCUCGCUUCAUCAUGAACGUCCCAUAGGAACUUAUAUCAACACCAUGACCAAAUUAGCACCUCUCACACCAUGAGAAGGCAUGGAUACACAAGAUGCAAUAGGAAUAAGACUCAAACAUUUUUUUCCUAAGAUCAAGGUAGCAACCACUUAGGGAUUACCAGAUUCCAUAAACUUCAUAGGUGAUGAGUUCAUACUUUGAAGUUGCAUGAUGCAUUGCUCACAAUAUUUUAGAAGUUGCAACGCGUGAAUCCAUAAUAAAAUUUAUUGCUUUGUGUUUUUAGAUAUAUGAAAACUUGUUUAUUGUAAAUAAUAAUUAGGGGCAAAAUGAAGGAGAAAAUGAAGCUUGGAAAUUUUGAUUACCUCUGAAAAGUAAACUUCUGAAAUGGAGUUGGAUUACUUGGCAAUUUUGUUGACAGCGAGGGGCAAUGGAUCUAUCUAUUUUGGUUGCACUGGUGUCAUCACACAAAACCUAAUCAAAAGAAAUAACCAUCUAAUAAACCCAGCCAAAAGAAAUAGGUUUCAUGGUAAAGCAAAGCAUACGCAAGAUUAAUCAUAGCGACUAUUUAGAAGUUCAUAAUUUCAAGUUGCUCUGUGUACUAUUUAAAAAAUUUAGAAGUUGCAAUAAUUGAUACAUAGUAAAAUAUACUGCCCUAUAGUUUUGAUCUAUGAUGAAUUUUGUAGUAAGCAAUAAUUAGGGAUAAAUGAAGAAGAAAAGGAAACUUGUAGAAUGUGAUUACCUUUGGUUAAGAAAGUUCCCAAAAUUGAAUUGAAUUUUUUUGUGAUGUUGAUGACAUAGAUAGAGAUCUAUUCAUUUUGGUCGCGCUAGCAACAUCUCACAAAACCUAACCAGAAGAAAUAGUCAUGUCAUGAACCAGUCAAAAGAGGAAAUAGCUAGGGUUUCAUAGAGGAGUGGAACACAUGCUUACCGUCGGGAGAAGGAUGGGGGAGAUGCAUCGACCGUGGGGUCCGCCGACUUUAGAGCGCCGCCCGCAGGAGGCGCUGCCUCGGUUGGCAGCUACUGCCGCACCGAGAGGGAAGGGGAGAGAGAUAGGAAGGGAGGAAGGUGAGAGAUAGGCGAGGGAGAGAGAUAGAAGAGGAGGAGGAGACAGAGAGGAGGAGCGCCGCCGUGCCGUGGUCGCGCCGGCGCCCGUUUUCCGCGUCGGGAGGAAGAGUUCGGGAGAGAGAAUGGGGCGUCGGUGGAAAGCGAGGGAGUGGAAGGGAGUCGAUAAAAUAUCUUCUUGGUACUGUAGAAAUUGGUGGAGUAAACCUGGACGGUUGAUUCCUGGAUUGGACGGAUAGAGAAAUUUUGG